RNAcentral lists this unclassified non-coding RNA (453 nucleotides) under uncultured Bordetella sp. RNAcentral's name for it is "partial 16S-23S ribosomal RNA intergenic spacer". Lineage: Bacteria; Pseudomonadati; Pseudomonadota; Betaproteobacteria; Burkholderiales; Alcaligenaceae. The record is from RNAcentral.
AUCGCGAGGGUAUCUAUUCUGUUUGCUCCCCACGCUUGUUGGGCAUCAGUGUUCUCCAGGAGGCUGCCUUCGCCAUCGGUGUUCCUCCGCAUAUCUACGCAUUUCACUACACUGCAUGGAAUUCACCUCCUCUGACGCUCUGGCUCAAGUGGUUAAAAUACAGUUCCAAAAGUUAAGCUCUGGGUUACGUCUUUCUUUCAGAACCGCCUGCGCACGCUUUGCCAGUACCUUAAUUCCGAUUAACGCUUGCCUGCAUGCUACCGCGGCUGCUGAAGCGUAAGUUAUGGGUGCUUAUUUCUUUUAAUUACCGUCAGUUACCCAAGGUGUUAUCCGUGCCGUUUCUUUCCUGCCAGAAAGUGCUUUACCCAGCCCGAAGGUAUUCAUCACUUUGCCCGGGAUGGCUGGAUCGGGGUUUCCCCCAUUGUCAAAAAUUCCCAUGCGCGCGUGUUGUGA